CGGAACGUGGCGAACGGGUGAGUAAUGAAUGAAUAACCUGCCCUCGAGAGCGGGAUAAUCCAUCGAAAGGUGGGGUAAUACCGGAUAGUACAGCUUGCUGUUAAAGGUGGCUUCGGCUAUCACUUGAGGAGGGGUUCAUUUCCUAUUAGCUUGUUGGUGAGGUAACGGCUCACCAAUGCAGAGAUGGGUAGGGGGCCUUAGCGGGUGAUCCCCCACACUGGGACUGAGACACUGCCCAGGUUCCUACGGGAGGCUGCAAUCGAGAAUCCUCCGCAAUGGGCGAAAGCCUGACGGGGUGACGCCGCGUGGACGAUGAAGGCCUAUCAGGUUGUAAAGUCCUAACAGGGAGUAUGAAAUGUAUAUCGGAUAAUACUCGGUAUACUUGACAUCAAUCCCAGAUGAAGUCACGGCUAAAUAUGUGCCAGCAGCCGCGGUAAGACAUAUGUGGCGAGCGUUGUUCGGAAUUACUGGGCAUAAAGGGCGCGCAGGCGGUAUAGUCAGUUAACUUGUGAAAUCCCCCGGCUUAACCGGGGAAUUGCGGUUAAUACUGCUAUACUUGAGUACGAGGGGGGAGAGUGGAAUUCUGGGUGUAGCGGUGGAAUGCGAAGAUAUCCAGGAGAAGGCCGGUGGCGAAAGCGACUCUCUGGUUCGAUACUGACGCUGAGGCGCGAGAGCGUAGGUAGCGAACGGGAUUAGAUACCCCGGUAGUCUACGCUGUACAUGAUGGGCACUGGAUGGGGGGGGCGCCGAUAGCUCUCUCCGGCGAAGUUAAUGCGUUAAGUGCCCCGCCUGGGGACUACGGUCGCAAGGUUAAACUCAAAGGAUUUGACGGGGGCCCACACAAGCGGUGCACGACUGCGGCNUAAUUCGAGGACACGCGUAGAACCUUACCGAGGCUUGACAUGCAGGGAUUAAUCCGGCGAUAGCCGGAGGAUUACCUUACGGUGUAACCUGUACAGGUGCUGCAUGGCUGUCGACAGUUCGUGUCGUGAGAUGUUAGGUUAAGUCCUGAAACGAG
This 1018-nucleotide ribosomal RNA is filed under the name uncultured organism. RNAcentral describes it as "bacterial SSU rRNA". It matches the Rfam family "Bacterial small subunit ribosomal RNA", at positions 89 to 1096 of the family's 1533-position model. The record is from RNAcentral.